RNAcentral lists this ribosomal RNA (483 nucleotides) under uncultured bacterium. Its description in RNAcentral is "partial 16S ribosomal RNA". It matches the Rfam family "Bacterial small subunit ribosomal RNA", at positions 28 to 507 of the family's 1533-position model. The record is from RNAcentral.
GACGAACGCUGGCGGCGUGCUUAACACAUGCAAGUCGAACGCUGAAGCUCAGCUUUUGUUGGGUGGAUGAGUGGCGAACGGGUGAGUAACACGUGAGUAACCUGCCUCCUUCUUUGGGAUAACGCCCGGAAACGGGUGCUAAUACUGGAUAUUCACUGGUCUUCGCAUGGGGGUUGGUGGAAAGGGUUUUUCUGGUGGGGGAUGGGCUCGCGGCCUAUCAGCUUGUUGGUGGGGUGAUGGCCUACCAAGGCUUUGACGGGUAGCCGGCAUGAGAGGGUGACCGGUCACAUUGGGACGGAGAUACGGCCCAGAGUCCUACGGGAGGCAGCAGUGGGGAAUAUUGCACAAUGGGCGAAAGCCUGAUGCAGCGACGCCGCGUGAGGGAUGGAGGCCGUCGGGUUGUGAACCUCUUUCGCUAAUGGUCAAGCCGCAACAAUGGUUGUGGUGAGGGUAGUGGGUAAAGAAGCGCCGGCUAACUACGUG